Molecule: small RNA, 100 nt
Filed under: Pongo abelii (Sumatran orangutan)
Lineage: Eukaryota; Metazoa; Chordata; Mammalia; Primates; Hominidae
Description: processed transcript
Source: RNAcentral
GCUACCCUGGUGUCUGCCGUGUGCACGGCCAUCUGGUCUCUCUGCCACACGUGUGCGCAACCUGUCAUGGAGAUCCCCCGAGGCGUGGCUGCCAAGGGGA